AAGGGGGGUCAGGGGCUCCAAGGAGGAGGGUCCGCAGCCCGGGGACUGAGCGUCCGGGGUGGAAGGGGACUCCGGGGUCGGGGUCUGGCGCACCCAGCCGCCUCCUCUCAGGCCGGGAGCCUCGCGUCGGAGGAGGAAAACUUUUCGUCAAGUUCCGGGAAAGGAGCGGGACACAGCGCGCGCCUCCGCGAGGGCCGCAGAGUCUCGAGUGUCGCCCCAGCCCCGAAGGCCCCGCGACAGCACCCCCGGCGCCACGCACGCGCUGCCCUGGCGUGCAGGAGCCGCGGCCGCGCGGCGAGGGACACCCAGCAGGACCCGCGUCCGGCGACCCGCCUCGCCCGGGCCGCUCCCCGCCUCGGCCGGCGCUGCAGCAGGUGGCGGCCCGAGCGCCCUGCCCUCCCUCGCGGCCCGCGGCCCGCGGCCCGUCCCCCGCGGGAGGCUCUCAGUACCGGAGUUAGCGCGGCUCCGACGCCAUCCCCGGGACCCGCGGGCCCGCAGCCCAGGCCCCGCAGGACCCGCAACUCGCGCUGCGAAGACGCCGGGCGCGCGGUAGGCAGCGGGUCCGGCCCGCAGGUGCGCGCGAGCACCCCGCGGCGAACAGCGGCGCGCACCCUCGCUUCGCCCCGCCCCCUCACCCGCCCCCUGGACACGCCCCCACGCACUUGGGCCCCGCCCCUGCCUGCCGGCGCCCGCUCUUCCGCCCGUGCCGGCGCGUCUAGAGCUCGGCGCUCGCCCGACUGUCCCUCUUCCGGGGGCCGCCCGCCGCGGGCCUCCGGAGCGGCGUCGCUAGCCCUUUUUUCUCCCGAGAACCAACCGGAGUGGCGAGGGACUGCCUUGAACGGGCCUUUGUGCCCGCAGAGCCCCCGCGGACAUCCGACAGGGGCCCCCUUACCUGUUCGGCUGCACCCGCAGCCAUCUUGGAAGUGGGAAGCGGCCGGGAGGGGGAAGGGGCUCGAGCGGGCAGGGCUCAGGCGUAGGGAGCCGAGCGGCGGAGCGCAUCGAUGGGGCGCCCCUGUCCCGGCCGGUGUGCGGGAGAGACGGCCCGGGCCCCGCCGCGGAAAGGAAGGUCUGCGUGACACCGGAGCUCAGGCCCCGCCGCGGUGGUCUUGGGAGCGGCGCCGUGGCGUCCUCCCAGCCGGCCUCAGUAUCAAUCUAUAA
Molecule: long non-coding RNA, 1158 nt
Filed under: Piliocolobus tephrosceles (Ugandan red Colobus)
Lineage: Eukaryota; Metazoa; Chordata; Mammalia; Primates; Cercopithecidae
Description: lncRNA (ENSPTEG00000039115.1)
Source: RNAcentral